Molecule: long non-coding RNA, 1495 nt
Filed under: Zea mays
Lineage: Eukaryota; Viridiplantae; Streptophyta; Magnoliopsida; Poales; Poaceae
Description: long non-coding RNA (ZMAY_LNC001761)
Source: RNAcentral
GGAAACCGACAGCGAGAGAAAGAGAACCGGGGGUGCAGGGGAGGCUCACCCCCGUGGGCAAACUACGGUGCUAGUCGCCGGCCUAGUUCUACGAGCUGGUCCGGGUCACUAGUGGCGCCUUGGUGGGCUGCAUGGUGUGAAUUCAUCCCUAAGGGUCGUCGCACAAUCCUCUCCGACCUUCGUAAGGGCCGCGAAUCGCCCUCGCCGUGGACGACCACCUCUGCGGUCAUCUUCACUUCGUGUAAGUGGCCCAAGUCAUCUAAUACACCUACGAGAUGGAUUACGGUCAACAAGAUUAGGAUUUGCGGGGCGGGGUAUGAACCAAUUUCUCACCGGGGUUCAAUUUCACCGACGAACCCGCCUCAACGUGGCUAGUGUCGAGCUCAUCCUUCUCGGCUUCCUGUUGGUUCGCUGUCGUUCCCUUGUCAUGGAUCGGCUUGUAGAGGGGAGAAUUGGGGGACUGGAGUGCUGGGCCGUGACCUCCGGGCAUGGCGCCGCCGUGGGUAUGGUCUCCGUCGCGAUUCGAGUUCCGGAAAGGGGGGAAACUGGGGGUCGCUUGGGCAGUGUGUAUGGACCGUUGAUUCACUCGACAACGACCGCGAUGGUGAGGAAGCCACCCGUUGCAAGGAGAUAGAAUUUGGGCCACCGAUCUCACUAUCAACGGUAAGAUUGCUUGCAGGAUUCAUUGGGGCAUCUGCAUUGUUGGAUCGCGAUCUCACGGCAUAGAACACUUACCCAUUCACUUAAAACCUAGAUCUAAUCUGAACCGAUAGUUCCAGAUCGGAUGGUCCUGAUCUACUAAUACCCGCUCGGCCUGAACAAACUGCAGAAGAAACCCCCUCUGUUUCUGGCAUAUGAACCCGCAGUCCAGCGCAGAGCGAUCUAGGUCUUAGGACGAUUUAUGUAGGAGCCCUUGAACUUUCUGAUAAUGAUGCGCACAAUCUAGUCAAAGGAUAAACUAUGGAAAUUCAUCUAGAAACAAUUCCUAGUGCAAAAUUAAUUCCAGAAACUUAAAUAAUUCCUAGAAAUUACAUUUUAACUCCUUUUUUGUCCAUUCUAGUUCCUAUAAUUUUGUAAUAAUAUUGUUCAUCUUAUAGUGUCUCUGUUUUAACAUAAAAAUUGUAUUAAAAUUGAUCUUCUAAUUAAUCUAGUACCAAACAUAUAAAACCUUUGGAAAUUCAUAACUCGGAAUUCGUAACUCCGAGUUUAGUGAAUCUUUUUCCUAUGAUCUCGUUUUAAUGCGUAGAUUAUUAUUAUGUAUUUGGUAUACAUGUUUGGUGUGAUGUUAAUUUCUCCCUUGUACCAUGCUUGUUUGUAUUGUGGCGAGUAGAAGAGCCAGUGGCCGAGGAGUCUGGUGUUUAGCAGGUAGAAGUUGCUGAGCAUGAGCUCGUUGAAGGCAAGUUGUGCCCUUGACCACUUUUAUUACCCAAUAAUGUUAUUGAUAAUCAUUUAUUCAUGCCUAGGCUUAACUUUGAUUGGACACAAUAGGUCGCCC